This 446-nucleotide ribosomal RNA is filed under the name uncultured bacterium. RNAcentral's name for it is "partial 16S ribosomal RNA". It matches the Rfam family "Bacterial small subunit ribosomal RNA", at positions 338 to 795 of the family's 1533-position model. The record is from RNAcentral.
CCUACGAGGGGCAGCAGUAGGGAAUGUUCGGCAAUGGGGGGAACCCUGACCGAGCAACGCCGCGUGAACGAAGAAGUUAUUCGUAAUGUAAAGUUCUUUUAACAGGGAAGAAAGAGAAAUUUGACGGUACCUGAAGAAUAAGCUCCGGCUAACUACGUGCCAGCAGCCGCGGUAAUACGUAGGGAGCGGGCGUUAUCCGGAAUUAUUGGGCGAAAAGGGUGCGUAGAUGGCAUAGUAAGUCUGUUGUAAAAAUGCUGGGCUCAACCCAGUAGGGCAAAAGAUACUGCAAAGCUAGAGUAUGACAGAGGCAAGUGGAACUACAGGUGUAGCGGUAAAAUGCGUAAAUAUAUGUAAGAACACCAGUGGCGAAGGCGGCUUGCUGGGUCGAUACUGACAUUGAGGCACGAAAGCGUGGGGAGUAAACAGGAUUAGAUACCCGAGUAGUC